AGCAGGCCCGCUGUCUGCUUCCCAAAGUGACAGGCGAGCCUGCAGAUGAAUUCACUGCUAGCUUCAGCAGUCCCGGUCCUUGUAGCUUUCAAAGUAAUGGUGCUGUGAUUCAGAUUUUCGGAACUAGAAGUCCAGAAAUGGUGUAUACGCUCUAUAUUAAACUCGGAGGGAAAAUUCAUGUUACUAGGUAUGUCUAUACAAAUAGUAUUUUAACCUUUUCAUUGAGACUUGUAAAUGAUGCAGACUUUUAGUCUUAUGAAAUUUCACUUAAUUCUUCAUGUAGCAAAAGAGAAGAGUUUGUGCCUCCAUAGUUAUAACUGAAUUUGGACUUCUCUUCUGCUUGGAUAGAUGUAUAUAUAUUCUCAAACUCUUAAAACAUAAAUAUGUCAUAAGGUUAUAUUAAGAAACCAAAUGAAUUGAAAAAUGUAUCCUGUUACCUCAGUUUGGAGUAUGUAAAGUGCAGGUAGUAUUUUGGUUUCUGGACAGUGCAGUGUCUGUCACAGCUGCUUAUUCUGCUGUGGUGGUGUGAAAACAGGCAACGUGUCAGUGAGUGGCUGUGGCUGUUUGCCAAUAAAACUUUAUUUAUAAAGGCAGGCAGAGGGCCAGUUUGAUCCACAGGCCUGCUGACCUCGAUCUUAAAUGGUUGAAGGUAAUAUCCCAUUCAUAUUUAUGCUUUUAUUUAUCUUGAACUUUAUAUAACUACCUAAGUUCUGUUCUUUACCCAAAUAAUUACAGUCUGUGUUUUAUGAUCUUCAAAACCAAAGUAAAGAGCAAGGUUCAAUUACACAGGUAUCUAUUAGAAAACAUGAAGUAUUGAGCCUAAAUUAUGUGUUUUUUCUGUGUGUUGGGUUCCAACAUUAUUCAUGUCCUUGUUGCCACUCUCCCUUCCUGCAGACCCAAGUUACCUUGCACAGUAAGAACAAAUGGGUGUGUACAACGUUGUUUAGAGUGUUUUGAAGUUGAAUCCUGAGUGUUUGCAAGCAGUGAGAGUAAUAGAAACACAUACUUUAACUCAGAGAUGUGUACAACAUAGUGAUUCAGCAUUUAUGCACAUUACUCAGUGCUCCCUGUGAUGUGUGGUCACCGUGUCACCAUAUGAAGUUAGUGCAGUGUUAUUCACUGUAUUCCCCAUGCUGCACCUUCUGUUUCCGUGACUCUAUUUCAUAACUGGAAGUUUGUAACUUCUUUUUUUUAAUGUUUAUUUUUGAGAGAGAGAGACAGACAGACAGACAGAAUGUGAGCGGAGGAGGGGCAGAGAGAGAGAGAGGAAGACACAGAAUCUGAGAUGGGCUCCAGGCUCCGAGCCGUCAGCACAGAGCCUGAUGCGGGGCUCAAACUUAUGAACUGGGAGAUCCUGAGCUGAGCUGAAGUUGGACGCUUAACCGACCGAGCCACCCAGAUGUUCUCGAGCUGCUCCGGUCUCUACUUCCUCCUGGUGUACCUCACCCAUGGUAGGACCCAGAAGCUGUUCUUACAUGAGGAUUUAAAUAACAAGUAUACCAGUAUUUCAUUCUUGAAAACGUCACAGCUGCUAGGGAAAUCAUGUUACAUAAAAAUAGUUCUAUCACUUUUAAUGAAAAAAAGUGAUGUGUUUGAUCUCAAUCCAAGUUGCACAGUAUUCAGAGAGGAAAAUAAAUCAAGUGAAUAGUGAAAAAAUUUAACAGAAAUGAGCGUUAAAGCAAAUACGUUUAGUUUACUCAUGUAAUGUGCUGACAUACUAUCCUCACUAGAGGAGGAAGCAAAGCCUUGGUGGGAAAGAGAUGGGAGUCAUUCUAACUUCUACACCACUAUCCUUGCUGACAACUUACUCUUUGGGGAGGGACGUGGUUAUCUUUACUCACACGAAAUUUAAAAAUACAGCUCAGAGGGCACCUUGUUGGCUCAGUCGGUUGAGCGUCCGACUCUUGAUCUCGGCUGAGCUUAUGAUCUCGCGAUUUGUAAGUUCCAGCCCCCGUGUCAGGCUUGCUGAUGUCAGCACGGGCCUGCUUUGGAUCCUCUGUCCCCCUCUCUCUCUGCCUCUCUUCAGCUCAUGCUUUCUCUCUCUCUC
Long non-coding RNA from Acinonyx jubatus (cheetah), 2047 nucleotides. RefSeq lists it as uncharacterized. The record is from RefSeq and is a predicted model, not a curated record. NCBI's taxonomy places the organism in Eukaryota, Metazoa, Chordata, Mammalia, Carnivora, Felidae. The transcript has 2 exons.